This 1137-nucleotide ribosomal RNA is filed under the name Arthothelium ruanum. RNAcentral describes it as "partial large subunit ribosomal RNA". It matches the Rfam family "Eukaryotic large subunit ribosomal RNA", at positions 184 to 1339 of the family's 3401-position model. The record is from RNAcentral. Lineage: Eukaryota; Fungi; Ascomycota; Arthoniomycetes; Arthoniales; Arthoniaceae.
AAUUUCUUGGAACAGAAUGUCAAGGAGGGUGAGAAUCCCGUCUGGAGUCGCGGUAGGGCCCAUGUGAAACUCCUUCGACGAGUCGAGUUGUUUGGGAAUGCAGCUCAAAAUGGGUGGUAAAUUUCAUCUAAAGCUAAAUAUUGGCCAGAGACCGAUAGCGCACAAGUAGAGUGAUCGAAAGAUGAAAAGCACUUUGAAAAGAGAGUUAAACAGUAUGUGAAAUUGUUGAAAGGGAAGCGCUGGCAACCAGACUUGCGUGCGGAGGUUCCCCCUUGCUUCUGCUUGGGCUACUCCUUCGUAUCCAGGCCAACAUCGGUUUUGGUGGUCGGUUAAAGGCCUUGGGAAUGUAUCUUCCUCCGGGAAGACUUAUAGCCCAUGGUGUCAUGCGGCCUACCGGGACCGAGGAACGCGCUUCGGCUCGGAUGUUGGCGUAAUGGUUGUCAGCGACCCGUCUUGAAACACGGACCAAGGAGUCUAACAUCUAUGCGAGUGUUAGGGUGUCAAACCCUUGCGCGGAAUGAAAGUGAACGGAGGUAGGAAGUCUCUUUUGACUGCACUAUCGACCGAUCCUGAAGUUUACGGAUGGAUUUGAGUAAGAGCAUAGCUGUUGGGACCCGAAAGAUGGUGAACUAUGCCUGAAUAGGGUGAAGCCAGAGGAAACUCUGGUGGAGGCUCGCAGCGGUUCUGACGUGCAAAUCGAUCGUCAAAUUUGGGUAUAGGGGCGAAAGACUAAUCGAACUAUCUGGUAGCUGGUUCCUGCCGAAGUUUCCCUCAGGAUAGCAGUAACGUUUUCAGUUUUAUGAGGUAAAGCGAAUGAUUAGAGGCCUUGGGGUUGAAACAACCUUAACCUAUUCUCAAACUUUAAAUAUGUAAGAAGUCCUUGUCACUUAAUUGGACGUGGACAUUUGAAUGUACCGUUACUAGUGGGCCAUUUUUGGUAAGCAGAACUGGCGAUGCGGGAUGAACCGAACGAGAGGUUAAGGUGCCGGAGUGCACGCUCAUCAGACACCACAAAAGGUGUCAAUGCAUCUAGACAGCCGGACGGUGGCCAUGGAAGUCGGAAUCCGCUUAGGAGUGUGUAACAACUCACCGGCCGAAUGCAUUGGCCCUGAAAAUGGAUGGCGCUUAAGGCGUGUC